GUGAGGAAUAUUGCGCAAUGGGCGAAAGCCUGACGCAGCGACGCCGCGUGGAGGAUGAAGGUCUUCGGAUUGUAAACUUCUGUUAAGUGGGAAGAAAGGGCUGCUUUUAAUAGAAGCAGUUAAUGACGGUACCAUUAAAGAAAGCACCGGCUAAACUCGUGCCAGCAGCCGCGGUAAUACGAGUGGUGCAAGCGUUAUUCGGAAUAAUUGGGCGUACAGGGUGUGUAGGCGGUAUGUUAAGUCUGUUGUUAAAGACUCCGGCCUAACCGGAGACAGGCAGCGGAAACUGGCGUACUAGAGGGUGGAAGAGAGAAGUGGAAUUCUCGGUGUAGCGGUAAAAUGCGUAGAUAUCGAGAGGAACACCGAUGGCGAAGGCAGCUUCUUGGUCCAUACCUGACGCUGAAACACGAAAGCGUGGGGAGCAAACAGGAUUAGAAACCCCGGUAGUCC
RNAcentral lists this ribosomal RNA (450 nucleotides) under uncultured bacterium. RNAcentral describes it as "partial 16S ribosomal RNA". It matches the Rfam family "Bacterial small subunit ribosomal RNA", at positions 354 to 796 of the family's 1533-position model. The record is from RNAcentral.